UGGAAUGACAGCUUCAAAACGCCUCCUGCAUGGAGAAACUAGUCGCAUGCAUUGCUCUGGAAUGAUUUUGGCCCAUUCCUCCACACAAGCAGUCUUCAAAUCUUGAAGGUUACGUGGGUUUCUUCUAUGAACUGAGUUUCAGUUCUUUCUAUAGAUUUUCGAUUGGAUUCAAGUCAGGUGACUGGCUGGGCCAUUCUAGCAGCUUUAUUUGUUUCCCCCUUUGAAAGCAAAUGAGGGUUUCCUUGGCAGUAUGUUUUGGAUCAUUGUCCUGCUGAAAUGUACACCUUUGUUUCAUUUUCAUCACCCUCGUAGAUUGCAGUAGAUUUUUGUCAAGAAUGUCUCUGUACAUUUGCCCAUUCAUACUUCCCUCAAUAAUAGGUUUACCAGUACCAUUUGCUGAAAAUCAGCCCCACACCAUCAUGUUUCCACCUCCGAACUUGACUGUUGGUAUGGUGUUUUUAGGGUGAUGUGCAGUGCCAUUUCUCCUCCAAACGUGGUGUGCAUUAUGGCACCCAAACUGCUCCAUCCGACCAGACUAUAUUCUCCCAGUAUUUAAAUGGCUUGUCCAAAUGUUGUUCAGCAAACUUUAAACGAGCUUUGACAUGCUUUUUUUCAGCAACAGGGUCUUGCGUGGUGACCGUGCAUACAGCCUAUGGCUGCGGAGUACAUUAUUCACUGUUUUCCUUGUGACAACAGUACCUGCUAAUUGCAGGUCUGUUUGAAGCUCUCCACAGGUGGUCCUUGCCUCUUGGACAACUCUUCUGAUUAUUCGUUGCACUCCUCUCUCAGAAAUCUUGCAAGGAGUACCUGAUCGAGGCAAAUUUAUGGUGUUUUUAGGGUGAUGUGCAUUUCCAUUUCUCCUCCAAACGUGGUGUGCAUUAUGGCACCCAAACUGCUCCAUCCGACCAGACUAUAUUCUCCCAGUAUUUAAAUGGCUUGUCCAAAUGUUGUUCAGCAAACUUUAAACGAGCUUUGACAUGCUUUUUUUCAGCAACAGGGUCUUGCGUGGUGACCGUGCAUACAGCCUAUGGCUGCGGAGUACAUUAUUCACUGUUUUCCUUGUGACAACAGUACCUGCUAAUUGCAGGUCUGUUUGAAGCUCUCCACAGGUGGUCCUUGCCUCUUGGACAACUCUUCUGAUUAUUCGUUGCACUCCUCUCUCAGAAAUCUUGCAAGGAGCACCUGAUCGAGGCAAAUUUAUGGUGGUAUGAUUGGCUUUAUACUUACGUGUUAUGGUCCCAACCGUGCUCACUGGAACGUUCAGACGCUUAGAUAUGUGCCUGCAACCAAUGCCAUCGUUAUGUUUUGCAACAAUUACUUUGCAAUGGUCUUGAGAAAGCUCUUUUCUCUUACCCAUCAUGAGAUGUGUCUUGACUCAUACCUUGGCAAUGAGACCUUUUUGUAGGCCAUCAAUUAGGACUGAAUCAGCUGAUAUUCAUUUGCACUGACAAGGGGCUGGAUUGCUAUUUGAUUAUUCAUAGAUUUUAGGUGUUUUAUUGGCUUUCCAUGCCUUUUUGCACCUUCCUUUCUUCAUGUGUUCAAUACUUUUUCACUGUGUCAUUUCACAUUUUUACACAACUUAAUUUCUGAUCUUAUUUGUUCUCCUUUGAAUGUAUGGAUUACUUGGGUUGUUCCCAACAUCUGGUGUAAUUUCCAGGUCAAUAGUACCUUUGAAAGUAUACUUAGUGAGAAAAAUGGUGAAGUGUUAAAUACUUAUUUCAACAGCUGUAUAUCGAAUGUUGGUUUGGUCAUACUAUAGAAUAAUUAAUUUCUUGUGUUUGCUGAAGAUAAACUUCCUUCCGAAAAAUCACAUGCUAAAUCGCAAUCACAAUAUUUGUUCAAAAGAAAGAAAGAAACAAAAAAAAACUAAUAAUUAGAGUAUUUUCCCAAAUUGUUCAGCUCUACUCCUGGUUGAUGACGGGACAGUUUUAAUUGGGCCCACAUUGUUGAAGCUUAUCAUUGUUGAAGCUUAUCGGCUUCCCAUUGAAGAGGACUGGAUAAGUGUAGCUAAAGCUUUAGCUACACAAACAUUCGUGAUGUUAUGGCCAACUACCAACAAGUGUGGCUAAUGAAGGGACGAACAACACUGGUGCGUCAGCGCUGUGCAGAGUGCACAAGAGUGAAACCUCGUAUUGGUGCGUGUAUCGCUUUAAGAAAAAAAAAUCAUUUGAUUAAUACAGGAAGUGUGUCGUUUGGAUGUGCCGCGCCAAAUUGUGUUUAUAAGGAAGCAAACUGUGUCGACAUGUUGCGGAUUUGUUGGAUGGAGUUUUGCUUGCCCUCACCUUGUUCCAGUGACUUCAUGGAUCGUUCCAAGUUAUCCCCACUCUGGAAUCAUUUUGAUCUUUUGAUGCCACAUACGGUGAAGUAUCGGCUCUGCUCCACAGAGCUAUCUUACAUCAAUAAGAGCACUUCAUCAAUGCUGAGGCAUUAGAGCUCGGCAUGGCAAUGAAGAAUUGGCAGAUACUCGUGUAGUACCCCAGUUCCUAACAAGCAAGCAGUGGAUGAGGCUGUGGUCAACAUGAUCAUCAAAGAUUGUCAGCCACUCACCAUUGUUGAAAAUGAGGGAUUCAGGGAGCUCCUGAAACUUAUCAACUCGCACUUAAAUUUUUAUGCUCAUCGUCUUCAUCUGUACCCUGUGAAAGAGUUUUUUCUAAGGCAGGGGAACUGGUGUCUAAGAGGAGAAAUCACCUUGGACCAAAGACACUUAAAAAACUUUUGUUCCUCAAUAAAAAUGCA
This is a long non-coding RNA of Phyllopteryx taeniolatus (common seadragon), 2736 nucleotides long. RefSeq lists it as uncharacterized. The transcript is spliced from 3 exons. The record is from RefSeq and is a predicted model, not a curated record. NCBI's taxonomy places the organism in Eukaryota, Metazoa, Chordata, Actinopteri, Syngnathiformes, Syngnathidae.